GGUGGGCACUCUAAGGAGACUGCCGGUGACAAACCGGAGGAAGGUGGGGAUGACGUCAAGUCAUCAUGGCCCUUACGGCCUGGGCUACACACGUGCUACAAUGGUCGGUACAAAGGGUUGCCAAGCCGCGAGGUGGAGCUAAUCCCAUAAAACCGAUCGUAGUCCGGAUCGCAGUCUGCAACUCGACUGCGUGAAGUCGGAAUCGCUAGUAAUCGUGGAUCAGCAUGCCACGGUGAAUACGUUCCCGGGCCUU
This 253-nucleotide ribosomal RNA is filed under the name uncultured Pseudomonas sp. RNAcentral's name for it is "partial 16S ribosomal RNA". It matches the Rfam family "Bacterial small subunit ribosomal RNA", at positions 1130 to 1382 of the family's 1533-position model. The record is from RNAcentral. Lineage: Bacteria; Pseudomonadati; Pseudomonadota; Gammaproteobacteria; Pseudomonadales; Pseudomonadaceae.